GUGCCUGUACUGCAAGUCGAACGCGCAGCGAAAGGUGCUUGCACCUUUCAAGCGAGUGGCGAACGGGUGAGUAACACGUGGAUAACCUGCCUCAAGGCUGGGGAUAACAUUUGGAAACAGAUGCUAAUACCGAAUAAAACUUAGUAUCGCAUGAUACAAAGUUGAAAGGCGCUACGGCGUCACCUAGAGAUGGGUCCGCGGUGCAUUAGUUAGUUGGUGGGGUAAAGGCCUACCAAGACAAUGAUGCAUAGCCGAGUUGAGAGACUGAUCGGCCACAUUGGGACUGAGACACGGCCCAAACUCCUACGGGAGGCUGCAGUAGGGAAUCUUCCACAAUGGGCGAAAGCCUGAUGGAGCAACGCCGCGUGUGUGAUGAAGGCUUUAGGGUCGUAAAGCACUGUUGUAUGGGAAGAAAUGCUAGAAUAGGGAAUGAUUCUAGUUCGACGGUACCAUACCAGAAAGGGACGGCUAAAUACGUGCCAGCAGCCGCGGUAAUACGUAUGUCCCGAGCGUUAUCCGGAUUUAUUGGGCGUAAAGCGAGCGCAGACGGUUGAUUAAGUCUGAUGUGAAAGCCCGGAGCUCAACUCCGGAAUGGCAUUGGAAACUGGUUAACUUGAGUGUUGUAGAGGUAAGUGGAACUCCAUGUGUAGCGGUGGAAUGCGUAGAUAUAUGGAAGAACACCAGUGGCGAAGGCGGCUUACUGGACAACAACUGACGUUGAGGCUCGAAAGUGUGGGUAGCAAACAGGAUUAGAUACCCUGGUAGUCCACACCGUAAACGAUGAAUACUAGGUGUUAGGAGGUUUCCGCCUCUUAGUGCCGAAGCUAACGCAUUAAGUAUUCCGCCUGGGGAGUACGACCGCAAGGUUGAAACUCAAAGGAAUUGACGGGGACCCGCACAAGCGGUGGAGCAUGUGGUUUAAUUCGAAGCAACGCGAAGAACCUUACCAGGUCUUGACAUCCUUUGAAGCUUCUAGAGAUAGAAGUGUUCUCUUCGGAGACAAAGUGACAGGUGGUGCAUGGUCGUCGUCAGCUCGUGUCGUGAGAUGUUGGGUUAAGUCCCGCAA
Molecule: ribosomal RNA, 1066 nt
Filed under: Leuconostoc lactis
Lineage: Bacteria; Bacillati; Bacillota; Bacilli; Lactobacillales; Lactobacillaceae
Description: bacterial SSU rRNA
Rfam family: Bacterial small subunit ribosomal RNA
Source: RNAcentral